UACCCCGGGCCGUUAACCUGGGAACUGCACUUGUGACUGCACGGCUAGAGUACGGUAGAGGGGGAGUGGAAUUCCGCGUGUAGCAGUGAAAUGCGUAGAUAUGCGGAGGAACACCGAUGGCGAAGGCAAUACCCCUCGGACCUGUACUGACGCUCAUGCACGAAAGCGUGGGGAGCAAACAGGAUUAGAUACCCUGGUAG
RNAcentral lists this ribosomal RNA (200 nucleotides) under uncultured bacterium. RNAcentral's name for it is "partial 16S ribosomal RNA". It matches the Rfam family "Bacterial small subunit ribosomal RNA", at positions 599 to 793 of the family's 1533-position model. The record is from RNAcentral.